Molecule: ribosomal RNA, 498 nt
Filed under: uncultured bacterium
Lineage: Bacteria
Description: partial 16S ribosomal RNA
Rfam family: Bacterial small subunit ribosomal RNA
Source: RNAcentral
AUUGAACGCUGGCGGCAUGCCUUACACAUGCAAGUCGAACGGUAACAGGUCUUCGGAUGCUGACGAGUGGCGAACGGGUGAGUAAUACAUCGGAACGUGCCUAGUAGUGGGGGAUAACUACUCGAAAGAGUGGCUAAUACCGCAUGAGAUCUACGGAUGAAAGCAGGGGAUCGCAAGACCUUGUGCUACUAGAGCGGCCGAUGGCAGAUUAGGUAGUUGGUGGGAUAAAAGCUUACCAAGCCGACGAUCUGUAGCUGGUCUGAGAGGACGAUCAGCCCCACUGGGACUGAGACACGGCCCAGACUCCUACGGGAGGCAGCAGUGGGGAAUUUUGGACAAUGGGCGAAAGCCUGAUCCAGCAAUGCCGCGUGCAGGAUGAAGGCCUUCGGGUCGUAAACUGCUUUUGUACGGAACGAAAAGCCCCGGGUUAAUACCCUGGGGUCAUGACGGUACCGUAAGAAUAAGCACCGGCUAACUACGUGCCAGCCGCCGCCGCAG